RNAcentral lists this ribosomal RNA (253 nucleotides) under uncultured bacterium. RNAcentral describes it as "partial 16S ribosomal RNA". It matches the Rfam family "Bacterial small subunit ribosomal RNA", at positions 524 to 776 of the family's 1533-position model. The record is from RNAcentral.
UACGGGGGAGCAAGCGUUGUUCGGAUUUACUGGGCGUAAAGGGCGCGUAGGCGGCCACCGCAAGUCGACUGUGAAAUCUCCGGGCUUAACCCGGAAAGGUCAGCCGAUACUGCGGGGCUAGAGUGCAGAAGGGGCAACUGGAAUUCUCGGUGUAGCGGUGAAAUGCGUAGAUAUCGAGAGGAACACCUGCGGCGAAGGCGGGUUGCUGGGCUGACACUGACGCUGAGGCGCGAAAGCGUGGGGAGCAAACAGG